RNAcentral lists this ribosomal RNA (497 nucleotides) under uncultured bacterium. RNAcentral describes it as "partial 16S ribosomal RNA". It matches the Rfam family "Bacterial small subunit ribosomal RNA", at positions 28 to 507 of the family's 1533-position model. The record is from RNAcentral.
GAUGAACGCUGGCGGCGUGCCUAAUACAUGCAAGUCGAGCGAACGGACGAGAAGCUUGCUUCUCUGAUGUUAGCGGCGGACGGGUGAGUAACACGUGGAUAACCUACCUAUAAGACUGGGAUAACUUCGGGAAACCGUAGCUAAUACCGGAUAAUAUUUUGAACCGCAUGGUUCAAAAGUGAAAGACGGUCUUGCUGUCACUUAUAGAUGGAUCCGCGCUGCAUUAGCUAGUUGGUAAGGUAACGGCUUACCAAGGCAACGAUGCAUAGCCGACCUGAGAGGGUGAUCGGCCACACUGGAACUGAGACACGGUCCAGACUCCUACGGGAGGCAGCAGUAGGGAAUCUUCCGCAAUGGGCGAAAGCCUGACGGAGCAACGCCGCGUGAGUGAUGAAGGUCUUCGGAUCGUAAAACUCUGUUAUUAGGGAAGAUCAUAUGUGUAAGUAACUGUGCACAUCUUGACGGUACCUAAUCAGAAAGCCACGGCUAACUACGUG